This is a non-coding RNA of Arachis ipaensis, 330 nucleotides long. The record is from RefSeq and is a predicted model, not a curated record. NCBI's taxonomy places the organism in Eukaryota, Viridiplantae, Streptophyta, Magnoliopsida, Fabales, Fabaceae.
UUUAGCUUACCACGAUUCCUCUUCUUCUCUUGUUGACAACCCUGCUCUUCUUUUUCCCUUCCGGCAAAUUUGGGAUCACCUGCUCCUCUUCUUUCUUUGGCUCUAGCUCUCAGUUUUGGAUUCUACUACUCAUUCUUCAUAUUCAAAAUCUCAGUUUACUCAGUUUCAAGAUCUUAUCUCAUUUUGCAGCUCCAAAAUCAACUUGGUCUUGUUAGAUUUCAAAUUUUUUUUAUUCAAGCUUCUUAUUACUAAUACGUAUUAAGGUCAAACAAUUUUAUCAAUGGCUUCCAAAUUGCUAUUAAAGAAACAAAGUCAACCAGUUGAGGCAAG